Molecule: ribosomal RNA, 450 nt
Filed under: uncultured bacterium
Lineage: Bacteria
Description: partial 16S ribosomal RNA
Rfam family: Bacterial small subunit ribosomal RNA
Source: RNAcentral
GUGGGGAAUUUUGGACAAUGGGCGCAAGCCUGAUCCAGCAAUGCCGCGUGCAGGAAGAAGGCCUUCGGGUUGUAAACUGCUUUUGUACGGAACGAAACGGUCCUGGUUAAUACCUGGGGCUAAUGACGGUACCGUAAGAAUAAGCACCGGCUAACUACGUGCCAGCAGCCGCGGUAAUACGUAGGGUGCAAGCGUUAAUCGGAAUUACUGGGCGUAAAGCGUGCGCAGGCGGUUUUGUAAGACAGGCGUGAAAUCCCCGGGCUGAACCUGGGAAUGGCGCUUGAGACUGCAAAGCUGGAGUGCGGCAGAAGGGGAUGGAAUUCCGCGUGUAGCAGUGAAAUGCGUAGAUAUGCGGAGGAACACCGAUGGCGAAGGCAAUCCCCUGGGCCUGCACUGACGCUCAUGCACGAAAGCGUGGAGAGCAAACAGGAUUAGAAACCCUGGUAGUCC